This 496-nucleotide ribosomal RNA is filed under the name uncultured bacterium. RNAcentral's name for it is "partial 16S ribosomal RNA". It matches the Rfam family "Bacterial small subunit ribosomal RNA", at positions 28 to 523 of the family's 1533-position model. The record is from RNAcentral.
GAUGAACGCUAGCGGCAGGCCUAAUACAUGCAAGUCGAGGGGUAGAAGAGGCUUGCUUCUUUGAGACCGGCGCACGGGUGCGUAACGCGUAUGCAACCUACCUUCAUCUGGGGGAUAGCCCGGAGAAAUCCGGAUUAAUACCGCAUAAAAUCACAGGAUGGCAUUAUCCAAUGAUCAAACAUUUAUGGGAUGGAGAUGGGCAUGCGUGUCAUUAGCUAGUUGGCGGGGUAACGGCCCACCAAGGCGACGAUGACUAGGGGAUCUGAGAGGAUGGGCCCCCACACGGGUACUGAGACACGGACCAGACUCCUACGGGAGGCAGCAGUAAGGAAUAUUGGUCAAUGGAGGCAACUCUGAACCAGCCAUGCCGCGUGCAGGAAGACUGCCCUAUGGGUUGUAAACUGCUUUUAUUCGGGAAUAAACCUUAUUACGUGUAAUAAGCUGAAUGUACCGAAGGAAUAAGGAUCGGCUAACUCCGUGCCAGCCGCCGCAGUAA